GACGAACGCUGGCGGCGUGCCUAAUACAUGCAAGUAGAACGCACAGUUUAUACCGUAGCUUGCUACACCAUAGACUGUGAGUUGCGAACGGGUGAGUAACGCGUAGGUAACCUGCCUGGUAGCGGGGAUAACUAUUGGAAACGAUAGCUAAUACCGCAUAAUAUUAAUUAUUGCAUGAUAAUUGAUUGAAAGAUGCAACUGCAUCACUACCAGAUGGACCUGCGUUGUAUUAGCUAGUAGGUGAGGUAACGGCUCACCUAGGCGACGAUACAUAGCCGACCUGAGAGGGUGAUCGGCCACACUGGGACUGAGACACGGCCCAGACUCCUACGGGAGGCAGCAGUAGGGAAUCUUCGGCAAUGGACGAAAGUCUGACCGAGCAACGCCGCGUGAGUGAAGAAGGUUUUCGGAUCGUAAAGCUCUGUUGUAAGAGAAGAACGGGUGUGAGAGUGGAAAGUUCACACUGUGACGGUAUCUUACCAGAAAGGGACGGCUAACUACGUG
This 504-nucleotide ribosomal RNA is filed under the name uncultured bacterium. Its description in RNAcentral is "partial 16S ribosomal RNA". It matches the Rfam family "Bacterial small subunit ribosomal RNA", at positions 28 to 507 of the family's 1533-position model. The record is from RNAcentral.